This is a long non-coding RNA of Ailuropoda melanoleuca (giant panda), 550 nucleotides long. RefSeq lists it as uncharacterized. The transcript is spliced from 3 exons. The record is from RefSeq and is a predicted model, not a curated record. NCBI's taxonomy places the organism in Eukaryota, Metazoa, Chordata, Mammalia, Carnivora, Ursidae.
UACGCGGGUGCACCAAUAACCGGUGUGAGAGAAGAGUGAAAUAAUAAUAACGGAGAGCUCCCUAAAGAAGAUCGUCGAAGACAAGGACACACAGAGACGAUUAAAAGAUUGCGAGCAGUGUGAGGGUAGGUGCUGCGUCUUACUCCCCGCUGGAUCCCUACAGCCAGUAGCACCUGGUGAGUGAACUUCCAGCACUGGCCAGAGGGGGCGCUGGUAAUCCGGGUAAGCCACCUGAUCUAGGAAUGCGGGAGAUGCUGAGCGGUCAAGGGCACUGCACACUUCCCUGGAGGCCAGCUACUGAACAUACAUCAUUCCGUCCUUACCACCCUGUGAAGUAAGUGCUGUCGUUCCUGUUUUGCAAGCUAAUUUCACACACUAUAUUCGUGUGCUAGGGCUGUGCAAACAAAAUCCCACCGACUGGGCGGCUUAAACAAUGGAGAUUUAUUUGUUCACAGCCCUGGAGGCUGGAAGUCCAAGCUCAAGGUGCCAACAGAGUCGGUGUCCUCUGAGGCCUCCCUCCUGCUGCCUCUACACACGGGCUUUCCUCUGU